Salvia miltiorrhiza (redroot sage) is the source of this 636-nucleotide long non-coding RNA. RefSeq lists it as uncharacterized. The transcript has 2 exons. The record is from RefSeq and is a predicted model, not a curated record. NCBI's taxonomy places the organism in Eukaryota, Viridiplantae, Streptophyta, Magnoliopsida, Lamiales, Lamiaceae.
AUUCUGAUCCAAGCUAUACGUUCUUAUGCUUGAAUUAUAAUUCACUGAUUCCAGCUUUCCAAAUCAGUUUCCAAGAUUUCCCAAAACAAGAAAGAGAUCCAAUUUUGGUGAAUUCAGAAAGAAGAUUUUCCUCAUUUCCUACUCAUAUCAAGGUUACCUCCUACUUUACUUUCUCCAUACAUUCAUUUGUUAAAUUACAAAACUAUGAUUCAAAUGAAAACAGAUCGAACACACGCAUCCAUUACCACUUCUUUUAGACUAUUAUUGUUUCAAUUACAUCAGCUUAUUACCAUCAGAGAACCACCAACAGAAUAAUACACACGCACACAUUUUACUAUAUUCUCUAAUCUAUUACAUGUACAAUCAGUUUUAAUAAAAAGGAAAUGAAUGAUUGAAAGAACAGAUUUUUAAAACCCUAACUUGUUCUAUAUUUUGAAUCUGGACUGAAAAAUUUGGAGAGUUCCUUGUGUUUUGCUUGCGUGUGUGUUGUUCGAAUCGUGAGAGGGGAAGGAGGGAGCAGCAGACGGCUGUUCGGCGCCGGCAACGGCGGCGCGGCGGCAACUGUCGUCCAGUCCCUGUUCUGCCAAAACGAGAGAGAAGGGAAAGGGGGAGAGAUUAGAUUAUAACAAAAAAGAA